AUCGCAAGACCUCGCGCGUCUGGAGCGGCUGAUGGCAGAUUAGGUAGUUGGUGGGAUAAAAGCCUACCAAGCCAACGAUCUGUAGCUGGUCUGAGAGGAUGAUCAGCCACACUGGGACUGAGACACGGCCCAGACUCCUACGGGAGGCAGCAGUGGGGAAUUUUGGACAAUGGGCGAAAGCCUGAUCCAGCCAUUCCGCGUGCAGGAUGAAGGCCCUCGGGUUGUAAACUGCUUUUGUACAGAACGAAAAAGCUCUGGCUAAUACCUGGAGUCCAUGACGGUACUGUAAGAAUAAGCACCGGCUAACUACGUGCCAGCAGCCGCGGUAAUACGUAGGGUGCAAGCGUUAAUCGGAAUUACUGGGCGUAAAGCGUGCGCAGGCGGUUUUGUAAGACAGAGGUGAAAUCCCCGGGCUCAACCUGGGAACUGCCUUGUGACUGCAAGGCUGGAGUGCGGCAGAGGGGGAUGGGAAUUCCGCGUGUAGCAGUGAAAUGCGUAGAU
This 501-nucleotide ribosomal RNA is filed under the name uncultured bacterium. RNAcentral describes it as "bacterial SSU rRNA". It matches the Rfam family "Bacterial small subunit ribosomal RNA", at positions 202 to 695 of the family's 1533-position model. The record is from RNAcentral.